UACGUAGGGUGCGAGCGUUGUCCGGAAUUACUGGGCGUAAAGAGCUCGUAGGUGGUUUGUCGCGUUGUUCGUGAAAACUCACAGCUUAACUGUGGGCGUGCGGGCGAUACGGGCAGACUGGAGUACUGCAGGGGAGACUGGAAUUCCUGGUGUAGCGGUGGAAUGCGCAGAUAUCAGGAGGAACACCGGUGGCGAAGGCGGCCCUCUGGACGGAUACUGACGCUGAGACGCGAAAGCGUGGGGAGCAAACGGG
RNAcentral lists this ribosomal RNA (253 nucleotides) under uncultured bacterium. Its description in RNAcentral is "partial 16S ribosomal RNA". It matches the Rfam family "Bacterial small subunit ribosomal RNA", at positions 524 to 776 of the family's 1533-position model. The record is from RNAcentral.